Molecule: ribosomal RNA, 484 nt
Filed under: uncultured bacterium
Lineage: Bacteria
Description: bacterial SSU rRNA
Rfam family: Bacterial small subunit ribosomal RNA
Source: RNAcentral
AUUGAACGCUGGCGGCAUGCCUUACACAUGCAAGUCGAACGGCAGCACGGGAGCAAUCCUGGUGGCGAGUGGCGAACGGGUGAGUAAUGUAUCGGAACGUACCUUCCAGUGGGGGAUAACGUAGCGAAAGUUACGCUAAUACCGCAUAUUCUGUGAGCAGGAAAGCAGGGGAUCGCAAGACCUUGCGCUGAUUGAGCGGCCGAUAUCAGAUUAGCUAGUUGGUGAGGUAAAGGCUCACCAAGGCGACGAUCUGUANCGGGUCUGAGAGGAUGAUCCGCCACACUGGAACUGAGACACGGUCCAGACUCCUACGGGAGGCAGCAGUGGGGAAUUUUGGACAAUGGGCGCAAGCCUGAUCCAGCCAUGCCGCGUGAGUGAAGAAGGCCUUCGGGUUGUAAAGCUCUUUCAGCCGGGAAGAAAACGCAUGGGUUAAUACCCUGUGUGGAUGACGGUACCGGAAUAAGAAGCACCGGCUAACUACGUG